This 2639-nucleotide long non-coding RNA is filed under the name Prunus dulcis (almond). Its description in RNAcentral is "sRNA ncRNA". Lineage: Eukaryota; Viridiplantae; Streptophyta; Magnoliopsida; Rosales; Rosaceae. The record is from RNAcentral.
GUCCACUUGUGAUUCUUCCCCGAGAAAAAGAAGGCCAAGGUUUGGGAUGAUCUGAAGAAGUUUGAAACCAGUAAGUAUCUUCACAUUAAUACAUGCCUUCAUUGAGACACAGGUCAAGGAAAAGAUUUUAAAAAAAUUGAAAAAAUUUCUUGAUUCGCUUCUGAUUAUAGGAUCUUUAGUGUGACUUUUGUGCGUUAUAGGAUCUUUAGUGUUGGUUCUUAUUUUAGGCAGCUAGGGCUAUUGGCUGCAAUCUCUAUUCCUCUCUUGUCGAGUUCCUUUCUGUUAGGGCUUUGGGAUCCCGGUGGUGAUCGAGACUUUAUUGUCUUUGAGCAAUUUUUCUGCAUAUAUGAGUUUGCUGCUAAGGUGACACCUUUGUAGGACCCUCUCCGCUUUAUAUUUCACUAAUCCAAACUGUCUCUUUUGUAGAUAUUCAUUCAAAGAUCAUCUCUACACAAAAAUCACUUGAAUCCGAUAUCAUUUGGCCAUUCAUUAAAUUAUUGAAAUUUAAGUAUUUUCUUGAAGCACCAUGUUCAUUGAUUGUGUUGCUCUCAAUUAGAUGCCUUGAUGAUUUUUAGUUUAUCUAUUUUUUUUUUAAGGAUGAUCUUUAAAUGAAUACUUGAAAAAUAGAUAGUUUGGAUGGUUGAAAAAAAAUUAGUACAGUACCCUAAAGACUAAUGUCCCUCAAAUAAAAUAAUUUAAAGAAUCCCUCAAUCAAAAAAGAUUAUAUAUAUAUAUAUAUAUAUUCUUUUUUGUCAAUGUUAAAGAUCUAAGAUAAGACACAAUGUGAACAUAAUCCUCACGCAAUACGCUAUACAUAUCUAAAAAUAUUGUGUCAAUCCACUAAAUAAGUGACUUAGUUGCUCCGCCUAUUUUAUUGACUAAUACAAGCAGCAUCGCCCUCAAAACAAUCCAAAUUCCUUCUAGAUCUCCACUAAUCACAAGAUUCUCAAAGAGUUAACAAUUAAUUAAUAUUGACUAUGUACACAAGCCUCAAGCCACAAGCAACAAAAAGAGGGACAAAAAUAUGCACAAGAAGACGAUGCAAGAAUGUCUAGGGUUACAUCAUAUCCAAGGGACGCUCGUCCGGGUUCACUGGACAAUGCCGGGACCCCGCAGAAAUAACAGAGACAACAAUCAUGCUGACAGAUAGCUAGAGAAACAAAGAGAAACUAGAAUAGGGUUUUUUCUUUUAAUUAAAAAUAAAAAUAACAAAAGGCUGGGGCUUAAGAUCCUGUCCACCGACCCACUAGAUUGGUCAAUUAAUUAAUUUGGUAGAGUUAUAUGAAGAAAGGAAUUUUUGUGACUUUGUUUGCUUGCUAUGUGCUGCGCCGCAGUCAGCGCUGGAAGUGUCGCGCAUGCGCAUAAGAGACUGACCGCAAGUGUGAUCUUGUAGCAGACUUGUGUAUAUAUAGAAACAUGCCGUUGAUUUCUUAGUUGAAGAGAAAGUGCACAUAAUCUUAGACUAUUGGUCGUUCUAGUCACAUACCAUACCACACGUAAGCUUCUUUUUCUCACUCUUGUUUUGGUUUCAAAUGCAUGAGAAUGGAUGCGGAACAUGCUAGUUCACUAAUACCUCUGGAAGUCAUAAAGUUGUAUACAAUCAUGUGUACAGUAUUUCUCUUUUUCCGUUAAACGCUAUAAAUUAUAUAUAAUAAUGUGUAUUUCUCUUUCUUCAUCUCUCAGUUCUUAAUUUAGUAUAUUACAAAAUCUCGAGAUAAAAUGUAUUCAUUGAUAUAAAUAUCACAAAUUGUACACAAUCAUUCAUGUAAUUUUAUUUUUUUCAAACAUAAUCAUCCAUAUUUAUCUCUCUCGUGAGUGAGACACAUUAUAUAAUUACUUUACUCUUUGAGAGUAUUACUCUCAACCUCUAAGUUUAGAACCACAAGGAAAUUCCCAGAUGAUGAGCAAGAGAGUGACAUCAUGAAACUUUUGUAAUAAAUAAUAUGGUCCCAAGACCAAGUUGGGGAUUUUGCUCCAACACCUGCAUCAUUAACCUACUUAUGGCCUAACAGGCUUUGGGAUCGACAGACUCAUGGUGGGGUCCUUUUUUUGGCCCCAAAGAACCUGAUUGACUGCACGCAUAACGAGGUUGGCUUGUUUGACCAUCAUGAUGAAUAGGACCACCACACCAUCGAUCACAACCUGAUCAUAAUCAAAGGCUAGGAAUGCUUUGGACACAAUUUGGCAUUUGAUACAUAUCAUAUGAUACCACGGACCACGGGCCAUGCCCUUGGAAUUUUGAAAUUUGAACUCAAAUUUUGUAACCCCAGAUCAUGGUUUUGUAUUGGCUGAUGAACAACAACAAGCACAUUGACAUUCUUCCAUUUGAAAAAAGAAACAAAGAAGAGGCAAAGAUGUAAGGAAUUUAAGAAUAAACUUUGUGGCGUUAUGUACUGUCCUUUCCAUAGCUUUAUUUGAGUGAGAGAAGAGAAGAAAUGAAAAAAGGAUCGAAGACAAAGCAAGAUGUUACAUAAAGAGAUGAGGAUUAUGCCAUUAUGGGACAGGUGUUCAGAAGCUUCAAACUCAAGAUUUGCAUUGACCCAUUUUUAGUUGUAAGUUAAUGAAUUAAGGGACACACUUUUAAAGUGAUCUGUCUGAUCCUUGAUUUAUCGAAUAUAAAAAACAUGCCCCCGUAGUGC